ACUCUUUUGUGGUUUCCCAGAUCUGAUGCUUGAUAAGGGUGCUUGGUCCCAAUUUCAGGCAUAAUCUCAACUCAAAGCAUUUUCUUUGUCCUUCGCUUGAUCUACAUGCGUGUCUUCACCAACAGAAAAAUAUCCCUCUCACUUCAUAGGAUAUUGCAAGAGCUUUUAUCAUGACAGUUGUGGGCUCCAUCUCUUCCACUUCAUUGGGAAAUACAAGGCAAAUAAGGAAGUGGUAAAGUAGUAUUUCAUGCUAACCUGAAAAACAUUUCACAAUCUUCAGUUCCAGCAUACUGACUUGAGUAAUUUGUGUGCGGUCUUUGGAGACUCCUGGCAGGAAAGUCAGCCUGAUUGAUCAAGAGAGAAAGGGAGUUUGGGCCAGCGGCAGAGGCACCAGAAGUUUCUUCUAGCAGAUCACAUAAAGGAAACCAUCACUCCAUAUACACCUUUUCACGACGGCUGCAAGCAAAUCAUCAAAGCAAGAGGUCAUGGAAUAUAUUGCAGCUUCCGCUCCCUGUCCCAAUGCUGUGUAAGUAACUUGUUUCCCAGAAAACACACUAAAAAAACCCCUCAAACACAGUAAAACCUAAGAUAUGCAACAAAAAUCAAUUUCACAGUUAUACUCAAAACUACAGUUAUUAUAGAAUAUAUAAUAGCUGAAAAUAAAAUUCAAGUCACAAAAAGAAUAAUAAUGACUAAAGGGAGCUAAAAGGCGAAAUGGUAUGAUGAUCAGGUGGUGCAGUUUCUAUUUUUCCUUAACUGAAAAAAGUUGUUUCACCUGAUUACAUAUACUAAGAAGUCCCAACACAAAGAAAGCCACAAUACCAUUUUUAAAAAACACAACAGAACAACUCGGGGCCCAUCCAGUUUUCCUUGCAGAAAGCAAGCUUCUUCCAAAGGAUGCUAGUAGUGUAUUUUUACUGGUGACCAUUGGAAACCAGAUGAAGAGGGAAAAAGAAAAAGCACAACUGUGAUUGGGCCAACAAUAAAACUGUGAAAUUGUUGCACAUCUGCAUCAUCAAUUUGUUUUAUGAAAAACAGAAAUUUCUGAUAUUUAUUUUAUAUUUAUACUCCAUCAUAUAUUGUGAAUAGGAUAGUAGGAACACACAGAUGUGCAAUCUAAUGUAUUAAACAACAACAAUAACAAAAAGAAUCAAUGGCACAUUUCCUAUCAUCAAUAUGAAUAUGGAGUAGGGAGAGGGUUAAUCCCAAAGGCAAUUUAAAUAACGGUAUUUUCUUCUUUCUAUAUAUUUAUAUACAUAUAAUAUAUAUAAAUAAAUGUUCUGAGCAAUCUCAGAUUUUUUUAGUGCAUUGCCAUAAAAAAAAUAGUGCAGUUUUUGAUUGAUUUUUUUUUAUAACUCACAAGGAAUAAGAAUU
This 1374-nucleotide long non-coding RNA is filed under the name Anolis carolinensis (green anole). RNAcentral's name for it is "lncRNA (ENSACAG00000042949.1)". The record is from RNAcentral. Lineage: Eukaryota; Metazoa; Chordata; Lepidosauria; Squamata; Anolidae.